This 311-nucleotide ribosomal RNA is filed under the name Peripatopsidae gen. sp. DNA103744. RNAcentral describes it as "partial 28S ribosomal RNA". It matches the Rfam family "Eukaryotic large subunit ribosomal RNA", at positions 704 to 946 of the family's 3401-position model. The record is from RNAcentral. Lineage: Eukaryota; Metazoa; Onychophora; Udeonychophora; Euonychophora; Peripatopsidae.
AAGCCCGAAGGCGCAAUGAAGUGAACCGUAGGCGGGAGAGUGUAAUCUCCUGCGGGAGUCGGGGCGCACCGCCGGCCCGUCUCGUUUGGUCGGGGGGUUCUUUUUUUCGGUCCCUUUGCGGGGACCGGUAUAAAAAAAGGCUCGUCGGCGGAGGCGGAGCGAGAGCGUACACGUUAGGACCCGAAAGACGGUGAACUAUUCCCGGACAGGACGAAGCCGGAGGAAACUCCGGUGGAGGUCCGCAGCGAUUCUGACGUGCAAAUCGAUCGUCGGAUCCGGGUAUAGGGGCGAAAGACUAAUCGAACCGUCUA